UGCAGGCACAAGUAUGAAGAU
This 21-nucleotide non-coding RNA is filed under the name Caenorhabditis elegans. The record is from RNAcentral. Lineage: Eukaryota; Metazoa; Nematoda; Chromadorea; Rhabditida; Rhabditidae.